RNAcentral lists this ribosomal RNA (507 nucleotides) under uncultured archaeon. Its description in RNAcentral is "bacterial SSU rRNA". The record is from RNAcentral.
ACGGGGUGCAGGCGCGAAAACUUUACAAUGCGGGAAACCGUGAUAAGGGAACUCCGAGUGCCCGUAAAAUCGGGCUGUCCAUCUGUCUAAAUAACAGGUGAAGAAAGGGCCGGGCAAGACCGGUGCCAGCCGCCGCGGUAAUACCGGCGGCUCGAGUGGUGGCCACUAUUACUGGGCUUAAAGCGUUCGUAGCUGGUCUGUUAAGUCUCUGGGGAAAUCUACUGGCUUAACCAAUAGGCGUCUCAGGGAUACUGGCAGACUAGGGACCGGGAGAGGUGAGRGGUACUCCAGGGGUAGGAGUGAAAUCCUGUAAUCCUUGGGGGACCACCUGUGGCGAAGGCGYCUCACCAGAACGGCUCCGACAGUGAGGGACGAAAGCUGGGGGAGCAAACCGGAUUAGAUACCCGGGUAGUCCCAGCUGUAAACGAUGCGCGUUAGGUGUAUCGGUGACCACGAGUCACCGAGGUGCCGAAGAGAAAUCGUGAAACGUGCCGCCUGGGAAGUACG